RNAcentral lists this ribosomal RNA (253 nucleotides) under uncultured bacterium. Its description in RNAcentral is "partial 16S ribosomal RNA". It matches the Rfam family "Bacterial small subunit ribosomal RNA", at positions 524 to 776 of the family's 1533-position model. The record is from RNAcentral.
UACGGGGGGUGCGAGCGUUGUCCGGAAUCACUGGGCGUAAAGGGCGCGUAGGUGGUUUGAUAAGGGUGUGGUGAAAGUCCGGGGCUCAACCCCGGAUCUGCCGUGCCGACUGUCAAACUCGAGGGCUGUAGAGGCAGACGGAAUUCCGGGUGUAGCGGUGAAAUGCGCAGAUAUCAGGAAGAACACCCGUGGCUAAGGCGGCUCUCUAGUACGGUACUGACGCUGAGACGCGAAAGCGUGGGGAGCGAACAGG